Molecule: ribosomal RNA, 720 nt
Filed under: Salmonella enterica subsp. enterica serovar Newport
Lineage: Bacteria; Pseudomonadati; Pseudomonadota; Gammaproteobacteria; Enterobacterales; Enterobacteriaceae
Description: bacterial SSU rRNA
Rfam family: Bacterial small subunit ribosomal RNA
Source: RNAcentral
CUUGGAGGUUGUGCCCUUGAGGCGUGGCUUCCGGAGCUAACGCGUUAAGUAGACCGCCUGGGGAGUACGGCCGCAAGGUUAAAACUCAAAUGAAUUGACGGGGGCCCGCACAAGCGGUGGAGCAUGUGGUUUAAUUCGAUGCAACGCGAAGAACCUUACCUGGUCUUGACAUCCACGGAAGUUUUCAGAGAUGAGAAUGUGCCUUCGGGAACCGUGAGACAGGUGCUGCAUGGCUGUCGUCAGCUCGUGUUGUGAAAUGUUGGGUUAAGUCCCGCAACGAGCGCAACCCUUAUCCUUUGUUGCCAGCGAUUAGGUCGGGAACUCAAAGGAGACUGCCAGUGAUAAACUGGAGGAAGGUGGGGAUGACGUCAAGUCAUCAUGGCCCUUACGACCAGGGCUACACACGUGCUACAAUGGCGCAUACAAAGAGAAGCGACCUCGCGAGAGCAAGCGGACCUCAUAAAGUGCGUCGUAGUCCGGAUUGGAGUCUGCAACUCGACUCCAUGAAGUCGGAAUCGCUAGUAAUCGUGGAUCAGAAUGCCACGGUGAAUACGUUCCCGGGCCUUGUACACACCGCCCGUCACACCAUGGGAGUGGGUUGCAAAAGAAGUAGGUAGCUUAACCUUCGGGAGGGCGCUUACCACUUUGUGAUUCAUGACUGGGGUGAAGUCGUAACAAGGUAACCGUAGGGGAACCUGCGGUUGGAUCACCUCCUUACCU